UUUUGUGGUGUGUAUGGUGUUUUGUUUUUUUUUGUGUGUGUGUGUGUUUUGUAUAAUGAACUCAAGAGAAAAAUUGCAGUAUGUUAGUUUUCUGAUUUCUUAGAGCUUGUAAAAGAGGUCUUGGA
This 125-nucleotide long non-coding RNA is filed under the name Mustela putorius furo (domestic ferret). RNAcentral describes it as "lncRNA (ENSMPUG00000025496.1)". The record is from RNAcentral. Lineage: Eukaryota; Metazoa; Chordata; Mammalia; Carnivora; Mustelidae.